Molecule: RNA transcript, 923 nt
Organism: Amphimedon queenslandica
Lineage: Eukaryota; Metazoa; Porifera; Demospongiae; Haplosclerida; Niphatidae
Gene name: pleckstrin-like
Exons: 4
Source: RefSeq, a predicted model, not a curated record
CAGCACACACUCAAGCAGGGCCGGAGGGUGAGACAAACAAAGGAGAACAAAAGCUCUUACAGACUCUUCCUGGAUUCGCUCGACUCUCGGAUUAUAGAAGCUGAGAGAGGGAAAUGGCAGCAAGGACUAAGUCCCUGUCGAAGGAUUUGGUAACAGAGCAGAGAGGAGAAGUUCAGAAAGUUGGAUUCCUUAGAAAGAAAGGCCACGUUCGAAGGAACUGGCUGGAUAGAUGGUUCGUGCUAACAACGGAAGGACUUUACUAUUAUAAGAAUAGAAGUGUCAGUAUAAUAUCUAUCAGGGGCAUGAAUAAUGUUUCUUUGAAUAGGAUGCAAAGCCUGUUGGUGUAGUACCUCUAUUUAGUGCAUCAGUGAAUGAAGAUACCUUACAAAGACACCAAAACGUCCUUACAGUCUGCACUGUAGAGGGCAAGGAUUAUCACAUACAAGCAAGCACUAGGGAUGAGAUGCUGAUGUGGAUUCAAUACAUUGAUAACAUUAUUAAAGACAGAAGUAAACAGCCACCAAACUAUCAAGCAGGGGUGACUCAGAACCCGGCCGCUGCAAGCAAAUCUGCAAGAACCCCGUCCAGUAGUUCGAAACCUUCGUCAGAACCAAUACCCUCACAUGGCUCGAGAGGCGGAACCAAACGCAAUAGUGAUUCUGAAGAAUCGGAGGAAGAUUAGUCAUUUAUUCCAGUUGCGAUCACAUUCUGAUAUUAUUAUACUAAACUACAGAACUGAGCUAUUGUUGUCAUACUAUUACUACUAUUGAUGAUGUUAUAAGUGAAUGCCAUAAUAAUUUAAUAAUUAUAAAAUAUUUUAAUAUUAUUAUUUUCUACUAUAUACGUUAUUAUUUUGUGUUACUAGUGUACUGAAGUUAUUUUGCCCUAAUAAAUAUAAUUGCAAAAAUUGGAUUAUUCAUCAA